AGCCUUGUUCAACCGCCUUAGCAUGAAGCUGUUGCCCUCUUUUCAAAUCCCUCGUGUGACUGCAUUCCUUCACCGCAUCCAGCAACCCGCGGACGCUGAUCUUCCCAGCGUCCUUGGAUGAUCCCCAGGACCCGGAAUCUGUUCGAGAGCUUGAGGUCUUACCGCUGAUUGAAAGAAGAAGAGCAGCAUUACCCUCCUCCAAGCACUUAAGCUCGUUGAGCUGUAAUCACACUAUGAAAGAAUCAGAAACAGCGGCUGACAAGAAAGAUAGAUUCUUCCACUUACAUUCUGGCCUGUGCACUGCAC
RNAcentral lists this long non-coding RNA (306 nucleotides) under Selaginella moellendorffii. RNAcentral's name for it is "long non-coding RNA (SMOE_LNC002401)". The record is from RNAcentral. Lineage: Eukaryota; Viridiplantae; Streptophyta; Lycopodiopsida; Selaginellales; Selaginellaceae.